RNAcentral lists this ribosomal RNA (518 nucleotides) under uncultured bacterium. Its description in RNAcentral is "bacterial SSU rRNA". It matches the Rfam family "Bacterial small subunit ribosomal RNA", at positions 16 to 518 of the family's 1533-position model. The record is from RNAcentral.
AUCCUGGCUCAGAUUGAACGCUGGCGGCGUGCUUAACACAUGCAAGUCGCGCGUGAAAGGACUUCGGUCCGAGUAAAGCGGCGCACGGGUGAGUAACGCGUGGAUGAUCUACCCAUGAGUUAGGAAUAACGGCUGGAAACGGUCGCUAAUACCAAAUACGCUCCGAUUUCAACUUCGGGGGAAAGGUGGCCUCUGCUUGCAAGCUACUGCUCAUGGAUGAGUCCGCGUCCCAUUAGCUAGUUGGUGGGGUAACGGCCCACCAAGGCGACGAUGGGUAGCCGGUCUGAGAGGAUGACCGGCCACACUGGGACUGGAACACGGCCCAGACUCCUACGGGAGGCAGCAGUGGGGAAUAUUGCGCAAUGGGCGAAAGCCUGACGCAGCGACGCCGCGUGAGGGAUGAAAGGUCCUCGGAUCGUAAACCUCUGUCAGGAGGGAAGAACCGCCACGGUGCUAAUCAGCCGUGGUCUGACGGUACCUCCAAAGGAAGCACCGGCUAACUCCGUGCCAGCAGCAGC